This 241-nucleotide ribosomal RNA is filed under the name Klebsiella pneumoniae subsp. pneumoniae. Its description in RNAcentral is "partial 23S ribosomal RNA". It matches the Rfam family "Bacterial large subunit ribosomal RNA", at positions 1520 to 1758 of the family's 2925-position model. The record is from RNAcentral. Lineage: Bacteria; Pseudomonadati; Pseudomonadota; Gammaproteobacteria; Enterobacterales; Enterobacteriaceae.
GUAGGCUGGUUGUCCAGGCAAAUCCGGAUAAUCAAGGCUGAGGUGUGAUGACGAGGCACUACGGUGCUGAAGUAACAAAUGCCCUGCUUCCAGGAAAAGCCUCUAAGCAUCAGGUAACAUUAAAUCGUACCCCAAACCGACACAGGUGGUCAGGUAGAGAAUACCAAGGCGCUUGAGAGAACUCGGGUGAAGGAACUAGGCAAAAUGGUGCCGUAACUUCGGGAGAAGGCACGCUGGUGUG